Molecule: ribosomal RNA, 1196 nt
Filed under: Lactiplantibacillus plantarum
Lineage: Bacteria; Bacillati; Bacillota; Bacilli; Lactobacillales; Lactobacillaceae
Description: bacterial SSU rRNA
Rfam family: Bacterial small subunit ribosomal RNA
Source: RNAcentral
CUAAAGAAGGGUUAAUCUCGGUGCAACAUUGGAACUGAGAACACGGUCCAACUCUACCGGGAGGCAGCAGGUAGGGAUCUUCCACCAAUGACGAAAGGUCUGAAUGAGCAAUCGCGCGUGAGUGAAGAAGGUUUCGGGCUCGUAAAACUCUGUUGUUAAAGAAAGAAACAUAUCUGAGAGUAACUGUUCAGGUAUGACGGUAUUUAAACCAGAAAGCCCACGGGCUAAACUACGUGCCAGCAGCCGCGGUAAUACGUAGGUGGCAAGCGUUGUCCCGGAUUUAUUGGGCGUAAAGCGAGCGCAGGGCGGUUUUUUAAGUCUGAUGUGAAAGCCUUUCGGCUCAACCGAAGAAGUGCAUCGGAAACUGGGAAACUUGAGUGCAGAAGAGGACAGUGGAACUCCAUGUGUAGCGGUGAAAUGCGUAGAUAUAUGGAAGAACACCAGUGGCGAAGGCGGCUGUCUGGUCUGUAACUGACGCUGAGGCUCGAAAGUAUGGGUAGCAAACAGGAUUAGAUACCCUGGUAGUCCAUACCGUAAACGAUGAAUGCUAAGUGUUGGAGGGUUUCCGCCCUUCAGUGCUGCAGCUAACGCAUUAAGCAUUCCGCCUGGGGAGUACGGCCGCAAGGCUGAAACUCAAAGGAAUUGACGGGGGCCCGCACAAGCGGUGGAGCAUGUGGUUUAAUUCGAAGCUACGCGAAGAACCUUACCAGGUCUUGACAUACUAUGCAAAUCUAAGAGAUUAGACGUUCCCUUCGGGGACAUGGAUACAGGUGGUGCAUGGUUGUCGUCAGCUCGUGUCGUGAGAUGUUGGGUUAAGUCCCGCAACGAGCGCAACCCUUAUUAUCAGUUGCCAGCAUUAAGUUGGGCACUCUGGUGAGACUGCCGGUGACAAACCGGAGGAAGGUGGGGAUGACGUCAAAUCAUCAUGCCCCUUAUGACCUGGGCUACACACGUGCUACAAUGGAUGGUACAACGAGUUGCGAACUCGCGAGAGUAAGCUAAUCUCUUAAAGCCAUUCUCAGUUCGGAUUGUAGGCUGCAACUCGCCUACAUGAAGUCGGAAUCGCUAGUAAUCGCGGAUCAGCAUGCCGCGGUGAAUACGUUCCCGGGCCUUGUACACACCGCCCGUCACACCAUGAGAGUUUGUAACACCCAAAGUCGGUGGGGUAACCUUAGAACCAGCCGCUAAUAUCAGCA